Molecule: ribosomal RNA, 253 nt
Filed under: uncultured bacterium
Lineage: Bacteria
Also listed under: 1 other name
Description: partial 16S ribosomal RNA
Rfam family: Bacterial small subunit ribosomal RNA
Source: RNAcentral
UACGAAGGGGGCUAGCGUUGUUCGGAAUCACUGGGCGUAAAGCGCACGUAGGCGGACGUUUAAGUCAGGGGUGAAAUCCCAGGGCUCAACCCUGGAACUGCCCUUGAUACUGGACGUCUCGAGUCCGGGAGAGGUGAGUGGAACUCCGAGUGUAGAGGUGAAAUUCGUAGAUAUUCGGAAGAACACCAGUGGCGAAGGCGGCUCACUGGCCCGGUACUGACGCUGAGGUGCGAAAGCGUGGGGAGCAAACAGG